RNAcentral lists this ribosomal RNA (493 nucleotides) under Ravinia vagabunda. RNAcentral's name for it is "partial 16S ribosomal RNA". It matches the Rfam family "Bacterial large subunit ribosomal RNA", at positions 1898 to 2601 of the family's 2925-position model. The record is from RNAcentral. Lineage: Eukaryota; Metazoa; Arthropoda; Insecta; Diptera; Sarcophagidae.
AGUCUACCUGCCCACUGAAUUUAUUUAAAUGGCCGCAGUAUCCUAACUGUGCAAAGGUAGCAUAAUCAUUAGUCUUUUAAUUGAAGGCUGGUAUGAAUGGUUGGACGAGAUAUUAACUGUUUCAUAAAAAUUUAUAAUAGAAUUUUAUUUUUUAGUCAAAAAGCUAAAAUAAAAUUAAAAGACGAGAAGACCCUAUAAAUCUUUAUAUAUAAAUUAUUAGAAUUUUGUAGAUUUUUUUUAUUAUAAUAGUUGAUUAUAUUUUAUUGGGGUGAUAUUAAAAUUUAAUAAACUUUUAAUUGUUUAAAUCAUUAAUUUAUGAAUAAUUGAUCCGUUAAUAACGAUUAAAAAAAUAAGUUACUUUAGGGAUAACAGCGUAAUUUUUUUGGAGAGUUCAUAUCGAUAAAAAAGAUUGCGACCUCGAUGUUGGAUUAAGAUAUAAUUUUAGGUGUAGCCGCUUAAAUUUUAAGUCUGUUCGACUUUUAAAUUCUUACAU